This 4835-nucleotide ribosomal RNA is filed under the name Triticum aestivum (bread wheat). RNAcentral's name for it is "partial small subunit ribosomal RNA". The record is from RNAcentral. Lineage: Eukaryota; Viridiplantae; Streptophyta; Magnoliopsida; Poales; Poaceae.
ACUUCAAAGGUUACUAUUAAAAAAUUAUAUAGUGAGUAUUAUGCAACCAGUGGGUGAGAGUCUAUGCGCUUUUUUUCUAGGGACUCGGGGGCGCGGCGAGGGAGGGGCCCCGCUGUGCCCGCCGCUGGGGGCGAGGAGGGCGUCGGAGGGGAGUGGUCGGGGAGAGGAGGAGCGGCAGCGGCCACUGGAGGCCGUCCGUUUCGGACACGCCUCGGCCGCCGCCGCCCCACGAGAGACCGGCGACGAGUGAGCCCUCCUCCCCUAGAGCGCACGCCCACCGCCGACAGGCCACAAGCCGAGGCCCCGUCGCAGGAACGAACGCCGCCUCCGCCAGAAGCCGCACGCAGCGCCGCAGACCAGCGCCACCACCCACGUGGCAGCGCCACGCGCUCCAGCAUCAGCAGCCCGGACAAGCCAGGGCUAGGCUAGACCCUAGGCGUCCGCCGCCAACCGCGCCCGCCACCUCCUUCCGAGCCGAGGAGACCACGCGCAGGACCUCCGGAGGACGUCGCAGAAGAGGCCGAUCCACGGCACCACCAAAUCCGACCUCGAAGCCAGCCAGCCGACGGCUAGACCAUCGAACAGGCCGCUCAACCCCACCCCACCGCCGGGAGGGAGGGACGAGCCCCGAGAAGACACCGCGACGUCGUCGUCACCCAACGACCUAGACCGGACAAAGCCGGCACAAGCCGAGCAGCCGCAGAUCGGCCGCCGCUCCUAACACCACCGAAGACGAACCAGUACCGCGCUACCGAAGCACCCUCCACACGCCCAGUCGCCUCCACGAUACGCACCCCCACACCCACACCCACAACGAGGCCCGCUUUCGAACGGCGCGAGAACGGCCGGCUACCGCAGCCACAGACACCCGCAGCAAAGUGGAAGAACCUCCGCGGCGGCACCUCAGGUGGGAAGUGCGUGGGAACCUAGGUCAAGAAGCCCGCUUUCGGAUUCUGGGUCAGUCCAGCCCGCUGCCGCAGCCGUAGCAACGAAGGGAGAAACCCCGCAGCGGACCUUCUUGAAACCUAGAACAAACGUGCGAGGUACCCAACCAGUACCACCACGCCGGACGAGUCCUGGCUCCCACCACACAAGAAGAAGUCCACAAAGAGAAGCCAACAGGAUGCACACCAGAGACCGGACGAGAUACGUACGAGUACGGGUACGAGACAACUCCGCUCGGAGUCCGAGAACCAGAGCAGAACCAAGUAGAAACGAAUUACUGCUGCGUUACUGCGGAGGGGCUGAACGAUUAGCAGAACUUGAAGGCACCGCCUCGCGAGUCAGUUCCUGACAACCGUAGCUGUACCGAACCCGCUUAAUUAAACCGCUAAUUCUUCUGUACCACCACAAUAGAGUAACAAUCUUGUCCUAACAUAAAGCUACUGUCUUCGGUCAAGUACUCAGUUAACCGGUUGCUGUGGGACUUAUUCAACUCUCAUGAGUUACCUCACUUUAAACUUAUGUCGAUGACCUUAUAGGUAUGUGUGCCUAAGCGGCCAGUCGUUUUAUGCGUCCAACUACGGAACCGGUACCUGUAUGAAAACCUUAGAUCCGGUUUUCUACUGGUUCCAUUACGUAAACAUCUCGAGUACGUCUACUUUGGGCUCCGAUAUUGUUUUCUUACAGAUUUCAAAGACUGACUUUUACUAGUGGAGGAGAAAUAACUACUCUACCUCAGGUGGCGUCUUACCCUGAGCUAAUUUUUUGUGGACAAUACACUCAGAUGAUCUCGAAUAUAGCAACAAGAAUGUUCUUCAUUUUUACACCGGUGUAUAACACAUCUAGUAUUUCUUAUAGUCGACGAGUUGGAGUCUCUAGACUACUAGUUCUAUACGUGCAUAGUAUGAUGAUACACAUUAAUGUUAUUAUUAAUUAAUUACGAAGAUACACUAAGAUGCUCUUCGGUUAAUUAAUACAUAGGAGAGACAUGUACGUACGUAUGAACGUCCCAAGACUGGCAACACCUACAAGUCUACCUCCUCUGUUGUCUUUCCUUCUACCACUUAAACUUGAACUAUUGAAACAACCCGCAUCACUACUCUACCUGAAAAAAAUAGCGGCAUCAGGACUGCACUUCAACAACACACACCCCCCCUAACGACAACAACCCUUUAGUCGAUAGCAGUCUCUCUCAAAGGUGCCGUUUCACUAUUGUCCGCCUGUGAUGUAUUACGUGUCGACCCACCUACAUGGGGUAGGAAAGCUAAACUGCCUGAAUACGGCCUCUAACGAAAACUUAAAAAUAGGCCUAUUAGAACUCCGUUUCCUUUGACGUAAUUAAUCAUACUACCUUCCUUUUCUGGGUUAAGUUCCCACGACAUUUUAGGAGGCAGUUUUGUUAACAGAGCAACAAUAACUACCAGACGUCAGCUUCGUACUGACCCUGAACUAUUUUUUUCGAAACAAAAGGGUCGGACAAUCUCCUUCUUGGCAACAGUAAUGUGCACUUCUUUCGUAGCGGUGUAUAACAUGAUUAUUUUUCCUACUUUAAGAGUUACAGUUUCCAGAUUUUCUACUAAACCGGGAAUUAGAGAAGUUCUUCUAAUUAGAGUUUCGGCUCUUUGACAGAGUUAGAAAGGGACUCCAUCAUCUUGGUUAAAAUUUCGUAUAGUACAGGUUCACACCACCCGAAGGUCUUCAUUAUCAACGACGUCCUUUUUAACGGUAGGGUAUGAGUCUCUCUUAAUCAAGGAACCUCGAAAAGUUACGACUUAACUACCUUUAUAACCUCUUGAGCAAUUCGAAAGGAUCUAAUUUCCCAUAGAAAACAACCUACGUUAGGAUAAAACUACGGACGAGUCUACUUGAGUUCGGUACAUAGAAGAUAUACAGUCAUAAGGGAUACCUGGUUUCGUAAUCCGUUUCCGCAAACGAGUCCGCCACCUAACGUCUCCCAAUGAGGAGACCACCACCACCACCACGACGUCUCCUCUUCCCUCUUUUCGAGAAGAGGCUUGAGUACUUUAACUCGUAUAAUAUAGACCUAGUCGCCUGUAGUAGUUGCUGUUUUUCGACCUACCAGUUACCGAAGAAGGCACUUAUGUAGUUCAGUGCCGGUUACCUUCUAUUAGAACACAAACGUGAUCUCCCCCCAACGUCGGGGUCGAGCGCUGAGUGCCCUGUUGUGGAGUGGUAUUCGUCGACAACCCUGUCCCUACUCUAACACAAGUUAUCGUACCUGAACAGUGCCGAUGCCAGAAACUGUCACAAACCCUUCACCCACGGUAAGGAGCAGAGCCUGUUCUACUUCCACGAAGCCCACGAACUAGAUCUCCCAUGAUCAUCCUGUAGUCUACCAUGACGAUCACAUUGUCUACUACAAGACCUCUUCUAGCACUUCGUCAAAGCAGCGGAGUUCAAGUACAGGGACGCACCUACGUACCUUCAGUGAGCAGAGGGACUAAGUAACCCACGGUACUGAGUCGACCUCUGAAACCUACGGUCCGUGUGGAGGUAUCAGCUCGACGGUGGACGAUAGUAGUGGUUCGAUGUGUUCGAAGUCAUGUAAGCACGACCGUGGUGGUUUCGUUCUGCUGAUGUUCGUCGUUGUUCUCGUCGUCGUCGUUACGGUGGUGGUGGUGGUGGUGGUGGUGGUUGUUGUUGUUGUUGUUGUGUUCUUCUUCUGUAGGUAUCACCUUCCUCGAGGAAACAUCCUCAGUUUCGUCGUCGUCGUAAUCCACACCAGGUUGCUCGUAGUAGAUCUUAAUGACCUCGUAACUUCUUAUCCCACGUACGAAACCACCUUAGGUCGUCGUCGUCAUCGACCACCCUCAGCUUCUUUGUCGCGUCCGCAGCGCAAGCACAACGACGUUUACCACUGCCACAACUCUAACAAGCACGGCGGCGGCUCCCCUAACCCUUCGACUGCCUCAACGUAUGUGAGCCACAACACUUAUAACGUCCACCCUUUCUGUCAGAGGAUGAGGAGUUCCUCGAGCUCUUAGAAUGGGUCGACGCGUUCGAGCCCAACUGGCCGUAGUUGUCAUUUUUGACCUUCCUCAACACGCUACGGUAGAGGCCAGUGGAGGGAGUAGAGCUCAGGAACAGUGACGUUGACGACCACGACGUCCUCUUACGGCCGUCGAUACUCAAACGAACAAAACUGGCGUAGAGGCACGACGGGUUCUGGGACUUCGCGGAAUUCCAUGACAUGUGAUCAUCAGCAUUGUCACAACGUACGUAUUCCGUUUGUACCUGGUCCGAAGGGCUAGGGCAUACAAAGGUUGUACUCACCUCCCAUAGUUGACCUCUCCUGUAUCCGUACAAUAAAUCGGCCCUAUACAAUGCUUCGAGACUGGCGGGAGUACAGGUCGGCCAUCUCCUCGAAGAGUGUAAACCAGUACACGGAUGUGGACUACCAAGACUCACCUCUGGACAGCUCGUGGAGUCCAAACUGACGGUGCCGUAGGCGAGUUCCCAUUGAAAACCUGCCCGUUGAAAAAAGAGCCAACUCUGCGAGUUGUAAUUGACGACGUCUAGAACACCACCUAGCAGCACGAACACCUAACUGCCCGAUUCCAUGGAUGUACCUGAGUUCCUUCAGACACAUUGCCCUCUCAUGUCGUCGUCGAAGCGCGUUCUGAACGCGUCCGUUGAACUGUUCGUACGUUUGGUAGGACUUGACUUCUACAAUUUGAGGAGCAUCUCUAGUCAUCAUCGUCUCACUACAUACAAACAAACAAUGAUAUGAACACAUACAGCGUUAUUUAAUCGAUGUCAUGACAAACAACGUUUAAGAAAAAAAUAUCACUACCAAAAGGCAAAGUGUUUAGGUUUUUUUCGUAACCCACACACGAAGAGGACACCAAUGAACGAAAGGGUGGGUGACAGCG